This is a long non-coding RNA of Contarinia nasturtii (swede midge), 377 nucleotides long. RefSeq lists it as uncharacterized. The record is from RefSeq and is a predicted model, not a curated record. The transcript has 2 exons. NCBI's taxonomy places the organism in Eukaryota, Metazoa, Arthropoda, Insecta, Diptera, Cecidomyiidae.
CAAGUUUGAAGCGUUAAACGAGAGUGAAUCAGUAUAAAGUUGGCGAUUCAUUCGAAAGCAUCAAAAGUUACUUGAGCAACAAGAAUUAAAAUGAAUUUCAAGUUUUUCAUUGUUUUUGCUGUGGUUCUAUUCUUGGGAAUUACAUUCCAAAUCUCUCCAGUUUCUGCCGGAACGAGCAGCAAUAAUAGCAAUCAAAGGUGUGACCAGUUAUCUGUAUCACAAACAUGCAAAUCUUUCUGUGCACAAAGUAACUACAAAUUUGGAGACUGCGUACGUGGAUAUUGUCAAUGCAACUAAACCAUGAUCGAUAUUAUAAUGUCGUACGUAUAUUGUGAAUUUUUUAACAAAACAAAAUAAAGAGUGUAAUCAACUACAAA